RNAcentral lists this long non-coding RNA (1491 nucleotides) under Monodelphis domestica (gray short-tailed opossum). RNAcentral describes it as "lncRNA (ENSMODG00000038221.1)". Lineage: Eukaryota; Metazoa; Chordata; Mammalia; Didelphimorphia; Didelphidae. The record is from RNAcentral.
AGAGGAUCCAUUUCCGGGUUUCUUUUCUGGCGCCUCUCGCUGGCUAGUAGGAAGCAUGGCAAGGGUUUCUCCUGCUGGCAGUGCCCUGGCGUCUUCUAGGUUUAUGGAGAUAGUCCCUCAGCUCAAAAUAGUUGUUGUCUGACCCUCCCAGGAGGGAAGGAAAACAUCUACCCACCAAGAACUGCAUGCAUUACAUGAUAUAAUGUUGCUUUCUUCUCCUUGUAGUACAUCUAGCCGCAGCAAAACCUUUCUAGACUAUGGUACCUGAAGCCAACCUCCUGCACCCUUGCACUGCAUUGCAGCCGCUUCCAGGUGCAGAGCAGAACGGAGGUGGGGUCAGGAUUUAAGCUAGCUGGAAGGCAAAGCUCUCCCAUCGAAAGACCUCUGGCCAGCACACCUCUCCACUCUUCUUCUUUAGCAGGAUUGUUUUCUGUGCAAUAAUUUAACGUCUCUGAGUCUUGUUUGGAAAUCUAUGAUGUAGUGACGGUUAGUUCAUGCAUCACCUUCGUAUUUCUGGACCAUCUUUAAUUAGUCAUUUCAUAGUAUGUCGCAUAGCCCUUGUGACUUAUAAAGACCUCAUCUUCUCUUGGGAGAAAGUUGCUUCUAGGGUAAAAGCACUCAUGGGAGUCACCCAGAUGCCACUGUAACCUCAGCAAGCAUCCCAGCCUGAAGCCCUGGACAUUGCCUACAGUCAAUACCUCUCUCCUGACAAUAGGCAGGAACAGCUCUGCAACCAUUCUCGGCACUGAAGAAGCUACAGAAUUUUGAGACCAUCACCCCUUUUCCCUUAGAUAUUUGGAGAGGGGAGAGAUGACAUGGGCAUGGUACCCCCAGAAACUUGGGCAAAUUAUUGUCAGGGGGGUUCCUUUGCUCCCUUACAUCCUCAUGACUCUUAACCUAAAAACAUCUAAUGACCCCUAUAGGAUCCUGAGAUGAUUGUGCUCCUUUGGUCCUCCUUUAGAUUUAAGAUGGACAAGAGAGAUGCAUCUCCAGGCCAUACCUCAAUUUCAUCGGGCUAAAACCAAGGAAUCUUUUAUGAGGGUCAUUCCCUAUGUCUCCAGGCAAACCAAACCCCUGACCAAAUGCCUGAGGGUUUACUACUCAAGGUAUAGGAAGGGACUAUAGCUGGAAUAUAUAUAUAUAUAUAUAUAUCCUAGCUGGAAAGGACCAUAUGUUGUUUUUUGCUUUUAUGCUGAUCAUACAGAGAUAGUUCGCCUAGUAAGCCUUUGUCUAGGAUUGCAUUAAUACUUUCCAGCUAUGGUCCUUCACCUCCUGGUGAAUAUCAUAUCAAACUCUGAUUCCUACCAAAUCCCCUUAUGAGGAUAUGAUAGCAUGAGGAAGAUUCCACAUGUAUAGCAGAAGUAGGGAAUGAAGGACCAGCCCUGGAACCUAUUUUUUCCCUGAACCCCUUGCCCCUAGAGCCCCUGCAGUCAUACCCUAGAAUGUGCUAGGAACUGAUAAGGACCCCAACCCCAGGUGUUCCUGUCACAC